This 1343-nucleotide ribosomal RNA is filed under the name uncultured bacterium. RNAcentral describes it as "16S ribosomal RNA". It matches the Rfam family "Bacterial small subunit ribosomal RNA", at positions 28 to 1378 of the family's 1533-position model. The record is from RNAcentral.
GACGAACGCUGGCGGCGUGCUUAACACAUGCAAGUCGAACGGAAAGGCCCUGCUUUUGUGGGGUGCUCGAGUGGCGAACGGGUGAGUAACACGUGAGUAACCUGCCCUUGACUUUGGGAUAACUUCAGGAAACUGGGGCUAAUACCGGAUAGGAGCUCCUGCUGCAUGGUGGGGGUUGGAAAGUUUCGGCGGUUGGGGAUGGACUCGCGGCUUAUCAGCUUGUUGGUGGGGUAGUGGCUUACCAAGGCUUUGACGGGUAGCCGGCCUGAGAGGGUGACCGGCCACAUUGGGACUGAGAUACGGCCCAGACUCCUACGGGAGGCAGCAGUGGGGAAUAUUGCACAAUGGGCGGAAGCCUGAUGCAGCAACGCCGCGUGCGGGAUGACGGCCUUCGGGUUGUAAACCGCUUUCGCCUGUGACGAAGCGUGAGUGACGGUAAUGGGUAAAGAAGCACCGGCUAACUACGUGCCAGCAGCCGCGGUGAUACGUAGGGUGCGAGCGUUGUCCGGAUUUAUUGGGCGUAAAGGGCUCGUAGGUGGUUGAUCGCGUCGGAAGUGUAAUCUUGGGGCUUAACCCUGAGCGUGCUUUCGAUACGGGUUGACUUGAGGAAGGUAGGGGAGAAUGGAAUUCCUGGUGGAGCGGUGGAAUGCGCAGAUAUCAGGAGGAACACCAGUGGCGAAGGCGGUUCUCUGGGCCUUUCCUGACGCUGAGGAGCGAAAGCGUGGGGAGCGAACAGGCUUAGAUACCCUGGUAGUCCACGCUGUAAACGGUGGGUACUAGGUGUGGGGCCCAUUCCACGGGUUCCGUGCCGUAGCUAACGCUUUAAGUACCCCGCCUGGGGAGUACGGCCGCAAGGCUAAAACUCAAAGGAAUUGACGGGGCCCCGCACAAGCGGCGGAGCAUGCGGAUUAAUUCGAUGCAACGCGUAGAACCUUACCUGGGUUUGACAUGGAUCGGGAGUGCUCAGAGAUGGGUGUGCCUCUUUUGGGGUCGGUUCACAGGUGGUGCAUGGCUGUCGUCAGCUCGUGUCGUGAGAUGUUGGGUUAAGUCCCGCAACGAGCGCAACCCUUGUUCACUGUUGCCAGCACGUUAUGGUGGGGACUCAGUGGAGACCGCCGGGGUCAACUCGGAGGAAGGUGGGGAUGACGUCAAGUCAUCAUGCCCCUUAUGUCCAGGGCUUCACGCAUGCUACAAUGGCUGGUACAGAGAGUGGCGAGCCUGUGAGGGUGAGCGAAUCUCGGAAAGCCGGUCUCAGUUCGGAUUGGGGUCUGCAACUCGACCUCAUGAAGUCGGAGUCGCUAGUAAUCGCAGAUCAGCAACGCUGCGAUGAAUACGUUCCCGGG